Molecule: ribosomal RNA, 434 nt
Filed under: uncultured bacterium
Lineage: Bacteria
Description: bacterial SSU rRNA
Rfam family: Bacterial small subunit ribosomal RNA
Source: RNAcentral
UGAGGAAUAUUGGUCAAUGGGCGGGAGCCUGAACCAGCCAAGCCGCGUGAGGGAUGAAGGCCCUAUGGGUCGUAAACCUCUUUUGUCAGGGAACAAAAGCGAGUAUGUAUACUAGUCUGAGUGUACCUGAAGAAAAAGCAUCGGCUAACUCCGUGCCAGCAGCCGCGGUAAUACGGAGGAUGCGAGCGUUAUCCGGAUUUAUUGGGUUUAAAGGGUGCGUAGGCGGCGGUGCAAGUCAGCGGUAAAAGCCCGGGGCUCAACCCCGGCGAGCCGUUGAAACUGCAGUGCUAGAGAAGGCGAGAGGUACGCGGAAUGCGCAGUGUAGCGGUGAAAUGCUUAGAUAUUGCGCAGAACUCCGAUUGCGAAGGCAGCGUACUGGCGCCUGACUGACGCUGAGGCUCGAAAGCGUGGGGAGCAAACAGGAUUAGAUACCC